Molecule: ribosomal RNA, 154 nt
Filed under: Phyllactinia taurica
Lineage: Eukaryota; Fungi; Ascomycota; Leotiomycetes; Helotiales; Erysiphaceae
Description: Leveillula taurica 5.8S ribosomal RNA
Rfam family: 5.8S ribosomal RNA
About the family: 5.8S ribosomal RNA (5.8S rRNA) is a component of the large subunit of the eukaryotic ribosome.
Source: RNAcentral
AAACUUUCAACAACGGAUCUCUUGGCUCUGGCAUCGAUAAAGAACGCAGCGAAAUGCGAUAAGUAAUGUGAAUUGCAGAAUUUAGUGAAUCAUCAAAUCUUUGAACGCACAUUGCGCCCCUGGGUACUCCUAGGGGCAUGCCUGUUCGAGCGUC